AUGGCCAACCACGGAGUCGCCGCUCUCCUGAUCACGUCCCUGCUCGUGGCGGUCACUCUCGCCGAUGGCAGGAUUACCGUGCAGGUGCAACGCCACAGCGUUAGCCGAGGUACGUCAUGUCAACCGAUCAGCAUCCUCCAGUUGAUCUGCAUGUGUAGCAGCGGCCAAAUGAGCAUGCGUUUCGCAGGGUAUGCGGUGAAGGCGGUGCUGGCGCUGGCGUGCAACAAGGUGAACGCGGUGCAGACGGGCGACACCUGCUCCUCCAUCGCGGACGGCGCCGGUCUGGCCCAGGAGGAUUUCCUGGGCUUCAAUCCCAACAUCAACUGCGAAAAGAUCUUUCUUGUCCAGUGGGUCUGCCUCGACGCGUCUGCUGCUUAA
RNAcentral lists this ribosomal RNA (378 nucleotides) under Triticum aestivum (bread wheat). RNAcentral describes it as "partial small subunit ribosomal RNA". The record is from RNAcentral. Lineage: Eukaryota; Viridiplantae; Streptophyta; Magnoliopsida; Poales; Poaceae.